UACGUACGAGGCGAGCGUUAUCCGGAAUUAUUGGGCGUAAAGCGCGCGCAGGCGGUUUGUUAAGUGAGAUGUGAAAUCUCCCGGCCUAACUGGGAGGGGUCGUUUCAGACUGGGAGACUUGAGGACGGCAGAGGUUGGUGGAAUUCCUGGUGUAGUGGUGAAAUGCGCAGAUAUCAGGAGGAACACCGGUGGCGAAGGCGGGUCUCUGGGCCGAUACUGACGCUGAGGAGCGAAAGCGUGGGGAGCAAACAGG
RNAcentral lists this ribosomal RNA (253 nucleotides) under uncultured bacterium. RNAcentral describes it as "partial 16S ribosomal RNA". It matches the Rfam family "Bacterial small subunit ribosomal RNA", at positions 524 to 776 of the family's 1533-position model. The record is from RNAcentral.